This 253-nucleotide ribosomal RNA is filed under the name uncultured bacterium. RNAcentral's name for it is "partial 16S ribosomal RNA". It matches the Rfam family "Bacterial small subunit ribosomal RNA", at positions 524 to 776 of the family's 1533-position model. The record is from RNAcentral.
UACGUAGGGGGCAAGCGUUGUCCGGAUUUAUUGGGCGUAAAGCGCGUGUAGGUGGCCAAGCAGGUCCGCUGUGAAAACUUGAGGCUCAACCUCAAGAUGUCGGUGGAAACCGCUUGGCUAGAGUCCGGAAGAGGAGAGUGGAAUUCCUGGUGUAGCGGUGAAAUGCGCAGAUAUCAGGAAGAACACCAAUGGCGAAGGCAGCUCUCUGGGACGGUACUGACACUGAGACGCGAAAGCGUGGGGAGCGAACAGG